UAACUGAAUCCAUAGGUUAAUGAGGCGAACCGGGGGAACUGAAACAUCUAAGUACCCCGAGGAAAAGAAAUCAACCGAGAUUCCCCCAGUAGCGGCGAGCGAACGGGGAGCAGCCCAGAGCCUGAAUCAGUAUGUGUGUUAGUGGAAGCGUCUGGAAAGGCGCGCGAUACAGGGUGACAGCCCCGUACACAAAAAUGCACAUGCUGUGAGCUCGAUGAGUAGGGCGGGACACGUGGUAUCCUGUCUGAAUAUGGGGGGACCAUCCUCCAAGGCUAAAUACUCCUGACUGACCGAUAGUGAACCAGUACCGUGAGGGAAAGGCGAAAAGAACCCCGGCGAGGGGAGUGAAAAAGAACCUGAAACCGUGU
Molecule: ribosomal RNA, 368 nt
Filed under: Escherichia coli
Lineage: Bacteria; Pseudomonadati; Pseudomonadota; Gammaproteobacteria; Enterobacterales; Enterobacteriaceae
Description: partial 23S ribosomal RNA
Rfam family: Bacterial large subunit ribosomal RNA
Source: RNAcentral